RNAcentral lists this transfer RNA (73 nucleotides) under Stegodyphus mimosarum. It matches the Rfam family "tRNA". From Rfam's summary of the family: Transfer RNA (tRNA) molecules are approximately 80 nucleotides in length. Their secondary structure includes four short double-helical elements and three loops (D, anti-codon, and T loops). Lineage: Eukaryota; Metazoa; Arthropoda; Arachnida; Araneae; Eresidae. The record is from Rfam by way of RNAcentral.
GCCUUUGUGGUGUAGUGGUCAGCACACUCGGUGCGUAUUCGAGAGGUCCAUGGUUCGAGUCCUGGCACCUGCA